RNAcentral lists this non-coding RNA (401 nucleotides) under Pan troglodytes (chimpanzee). Lineage: Eukaryota; Metazoa; Chordata; Mammalia; Primates; Hominidae. The record is from RNAcentral.
ACUUUUAACUUGGGUCAUUUAAGUGCAAGUGCCUUGUUUUCGCCAUUUUGCCAAGGACAUGGGGCUCAAGUUUGGGUGUGCACCUGGCUUGCAGCAGAACUGGCUGGGAUGGCUUCAUAACUUCCCUUCCAACAAUAUAACAAUAUGCUUCUGUAAAUUUUCACACCGAAUUGGACAAGAAUCAGAAUAUCCUGUUUUGAACAUCUGCACAGAUUGACAAACAAAAAUGGAACAUCAAGACUGACUGGAAAUGGUGAUGUGAAAUUCAUUAAAUGCUCUUGAGGUGCCAAGACUGAGGCUCAGAGAAAUUAAAUAACAUGCCAAAGGUCACAGUGUCUAGUGGAGCUGGGGCCAAAUUCAGGUUCACGUGGUGAUAAAGCUUUUUUUGUGCCAUCACCCUG